GGAGAGAUGCUCGAGCGGUUGAUGAGGCACGCCUGGAAAGCGUGUAUACUGGAAACAGUAUCGCGGGUUCGAAUCCCGCUUUCUCCG
Molecule: transfer RNA, 87 nt
Filed under: Bacteroidia bacterium
Lineage: Bacteria; Pseudomonadati; Bacteroidota; Bacteroidia
Also listed under: 2 other names
Description: tRNA-Ser
Rfam family: tRNA
About the family: Transfer RNA (tRNA) molecules are approximately 80 nucleotides in length. Their secondary structure includes four short double-helical elements and three loops (D, anti-codon, and T loops).
Source: RNAcentral